GAUGAACGCUGGCGGCGUGCCUAAUAUAUGCAAGUCGAGCGAACGGACGAGAAGCUUGCUUCUUUGAUGUUAGCGGCGGACGGGUGAGUAACACGUGGAUAACCUACCUAUAAGACUGGGAUAACUUCGGGAAACCGGAGCUAAUACCGGAUAAUAUUUUGAACCGCAUGGUUCAAAAGUGAAAGACGGUCUUGCUGUCACUUAUAGAUGGAUCCGCGCUGCAUUAGCUAGUUGGUAAGGUAACGGCUUACCAAGGCAACGAUGCAUAGCCGACCUGAGAGGGUGAUCGGCCACACUGGAACUGAGACACGGUCCAGACUCCUACGGGAGGCAGCAGUAGGGAAUCUUCCGCAAUGGGCGAAAGCCUGACGGAGCAACGCCGCGUGAGUGAUGAAGGUCUUCGGAUCGUAAAACUCUGUUAUUAGGGAAGAACAUAUGUGUAAGUAACUGUGCACAUCUUGACGGUACCUAAUCAGAAAGCCACGGCUAACUACGUG
RNAcentral lists this ribosomal RNA (497 nucleotides) under uncultured bacterium. Its description in RNAcentral is "partial 16S ribosomal RNA". It matches the Rfam family "Bacterial small subunit ribosomal RNA", at positions 28 to 507 of the family's 1533-position model. The record is from RNAcentral.